RNAcentral lists this ribosomal RNA (175 nucleotides) under uncultured bacterium. RNAcentral describes it as "partial 16S ribosomal RNA". It matches the Rfam family "Bacterial small subunit ribosomal RNA", at positions 336 to 525 of the family's 1533-position model. The record is from RNAcentral.
CUCCUACGGGAGGCAGCAGUGGGGAAUAUUGGGCAAUGGGCGAAAGCCUGACCCAGCGACGCCGCGUGAGGGAAGAAGGUCUUCGGAUUGUAAACCUUUGUUGACAGGGAAGAAGAAAGUGACGGUACCUGUAAAGAAAGCCACGGCUAACUACGUGCCAGCAGCCGCGGUAAUA